This 512-nucleotide ribosomal RNA is filed under the name [Candida] sp. GY25S03. RNAcentral's name for it is "eukaryotic LSU rRNA". It matches the Rfam family "Eukaryotic large subunit ribosomal RNA", at positions 89 to 650 of the family's 3401-position model. The record is from RNAcentral. Lineage: Eukaryota; Fungi; Ascomycota; Saccharomycetes; Saccharomycetales.
GCGAGUGAAGCGGCAAAAGCUCAAAUUUGAAAUCUGGCCUCUGGUCCGAGUUGUAAUUUGAAGGUUGGGUGGUUUAAUGCCAGGGUUGUUAAGUCCAUUGGAACAUGGCGCCAGAGAGGGUGAUAGCCCCGUCUGCAACUGCUUGGUAUUAUCUAUACUGCCCUUCCAAAGAGUCGAGUUGUUUGGGAAUGCAGCUCUAAGUGGGUGGUAAAUUCCAUCUAAAGCUAAAUAUUGGCGAGAGACCGAUAGCGAACAAGUACAGUGAUGGAAAGAUGAAAAGCACUUUGAAAAGAGAGUGAAACAGUACGUGAAAUUGUUGAAAGGGAAGGGCUUGCAAGCAGACACAAUCUUCGGAUUGGGCCAGCAUCGGUUGACAAGGGGUGGAAAAGGCCUUGGGGAAUGUAGCUUCUUUUCUUUCGAAUUGAAGUGUUAUAGACCCAGGGAGAUACACCCACUUUCGACCGAGGCCUGCGAUUCUUCUAGGAUGCUGGCGUAAUGGUUGCAAGUCGCCC